This 888-nucleotide ribosomal RNA is filed under the name Bacillus sp. ME36. Its description in RNAcentral is "bacterial SSU rRNA". It matches the Rfam family "Bacterial small subunit ribosomal RNA", at positions 44 to 912 of the family's 1533-position model. The record is from RNAcentral. Lineage: Bacteria; Bacillati; Bacillota; Bacilli; Caryophanales; Bacillaceae.
GUGCUAUACUGCAGUCGAGCGAAUGGAUUAAGAGCUUGCUCUUAUGAAGUUAGCGGCGGACGGGUGAGUAACACGUGGGUAACCUGCCCAUAAGACUGGGAUAACUCCGGGAAACCGGGGCUAAUACCGGAUAACAUUUUGAACCGCAUGGUUCGAAAUUGAAAGGCGGCUUCGGCUGUCACUUAUGGAUGGACCCGCGUCGCAUUAGCUAGUUGGUGAGGUAACGGCUCACCAAGGCAACGAUGCGUAGCCGACCUGAGAGGGUGAUCGGCCACACUGGGACUGAGACACGGCCCAGACUCCUACGGGAGGCAGCAGUAGGGAAUCUUCCGCAAUGGACGAAAGUCUGACGGAGCAACGCCGCGUGAGUGAUGAAGGCUUUCGGGUCGUAAAACUCUGUUGUUAGGGAAGAACAAGUGCUAGUUGAAUAAGCUGGCACCUUGACGGUACCUAACCAGAAAGCCACGGCUAACUACGUGCCAGCAGCCGCGGUAAUACGUAGGUGGCAAGCGUUAUCCGGAAUUAUUGGGCGUAAAGCGCGCGCAGGUGGUUUCUUAAGUCUGAUGUGAAAGCCCACGGCUCAACCGUGGAGGGUCAUUGGAAACUGGGAGACUUGAGUGCAGAAGAGGAAAGUGGAAUUCCAUGUGUAGCGGUGAAAUGCGUAGAGAUAUGGAGGAACACCAGUGGCGAAGGCGACUUUCUGGUCUGUAACUGACACUGAGGCGCGAAAGCGUGGGGAGCAAACAGGAUUAGAUACCCCUGGUAGUCCACGCCGUAAAACGAUGAGUGCUAAGUGUUAGAGGGUUUCCGCCCUUUAGUGCUGAAGUUAACGCAUUAAGCACUCCGCCUGGGGAGUACGGCCGCAAGGCUGAAACUCCAAAGGAAUUG